GUCUACGGCCAUGCCACCCUGAACAAGCCCGAUCCCGUCUGAUCUCGAAAGCUAAGCAGGGUUGGUCCCAGUUAGUACUUGGAUAAGAGACCACCUAGGAAGACCAGGUGCUGCAGGCA
This 119-nucleotide ribosomal RNA is filed under the name Pteropus alecto (black flying fox). Lineage: Eukaryota; Metazoa; Chordata; Mammalia; Chiroptera; Pteropodidae. The record is from RNAcentral.